CCUACGGGAGGCAGCAGUGAGGAAUAUUGGUCAAUGGGCGGAAGCCUGAACCAGCCAAGUAGCGUGCGGGAUGAAGGCCCUACGGGUCGUAAACCGCUUUUGCACGGGGAUAACACCCUCCACUUGUGGCGGUCUGCAGGUACCGUGCGAAUAAGGGCCGGCUAAUUCCGUGCCAGCAGCCGCGGUAAUACGGAGGGCCCGAGCGUUAUCCGGAUUCAUUGGGCUUAAAGGGUGCGUAGGCGGGCGUUAAAGUCAGCUGUAAAAUCGCGCGACUCAACCGCGCCCCGCAGUUGAAACUGGACGCCUUGAGUUCACGACAGGCAGGCGGAAGUCGUGGUGUAGCGGUGAAAUGCAUAGAUAUCGCGAGGAACCCCGAUUGCGAAGGCAGCCUGCCGGGGUGCGACUGACGCUGAGGCUCGAAGGUGCGGGUAUCGAACAGGAUUAGAUACCCUAGUAGUC
RNAcentral lists this ribosomal RNA (459 nucleotides) under uncultured bacterium. RNAcentral's name for it is "partial 16S ribosomal RNA". It matches the Rfam family "Bacterial small subunit ribosomal RNA", at positions 338 to 795 of the family's 1533-position model. The record is from RNAcentral.